Molecule: long non-coding RNA, 1331 nt
Filed under: Oryctolagus cuniculus (rabbit)
Lineage: Eukaryota; Metazoa; Chordata; Mammalia; Lagomorpha; Leporidae
Description: lncRNA (ENSOCUG00000035371.1)
Source: RNAcentral
CUUCUGUACAAAAUUGGAGGAUUUCAAAGUGUUCCAGCAACAAAAUAUAAGAAAUUGCAAGAACACAUAAAUUUCAAGUGUUUUCUACCUACGUCAGCAACAUCUUAGCAAAAUACAGGCAGGAUAUCCAAGUGCCAAGAUGGAAAAUAAAAUGAAAAGUUGCAAGGAAAGCUGCCUGUGAGUCAGUCUACAACAGGUUAAUGUUCACCGCACAUGAACAGUUGAUCCAGCUUGAAAUAAGAAGAACUCAGUGAAAACUCCAGCUCAACCACUACAUGACAUUUGAUUUCGCAGAGUUUCCGUAAGUCCUUAGUGACUCAAUUUCUGUUCGUAUACAUUGCAACUACUUAUAAUUCUUGUCCCAUGGUUAUAUUAAGGUUAAGUGACAAUUUAAGUGAGAACAGUUAGCAAAACUCCCAAGACAUGAUAAGCAGUGGAUAAAUGUUUCAUGGUAGAUUCUCAUCUGAUUUGGCUAUCUAAUAACAGAAAGCCACCGCCUGCCUCAUGAAUAACAAAGCUAGUGAUGACUUGCAGUAUUGAUGAUAUUUUCAUUUUCUCCACAAUUUGGCAAUACCAUGUUGCAUCUGAGCUUUUACUCAUACAAACAAUUUUUCCUGUAAAAUUUCACUAACAACACUAAUUGAUGGGCUAUUAAUCAAUACGAGUUCAUAGGCAAAUAACAGGCUGUAGUAAUUUCACUUGAUUUUUUUAUGUGGGGACAAUUCUGGAAAUGCAUCAGUUUUUCUCAAUUGCUAUUUAUAAUAAUGUAAAUAAUCCCAUUUUUGAGUCAAUAAAUAACUAUGGCUAUGUGGUUGGAAGAUUAAGUUAUUAAUAUAUAUUAUCUAAUUUAAUCCCAACUUCACUUUUAUGAUGUUAGCACUGACAGUACUUUACAGAAUUUGGAAUCUGAUGCUCAGAGAAAUUAUAUAGCUUGCCUAAGCUUUUGCAGCCAAAAGCUAGAAGGGCUCUGCUUGAAACCAGUUCUGAUGCCAAUAGUUGAGCACUCAAGUACAGUCUGCAUAUCUGAUGCUACCUUGAUCAUUUCCUCUGACAAUGUUAUCUUCAUAUCACAAGUGAUUCUGUAUUGCUCUCCUCAUCCCACAGGUGGUUCCUUGAUCAACCAUCACCAUGCAUCCCCAGAAGGUAAUCAACUUCCCUUCUCUGUCUUCCUGAGGAAGGAUCCAUUGGCUGCAGACUCCAACUCUUGCUUCACAGGUCUCUGUCAUAUUUUUUCCUCUCUAACUCUGGCUCCUGUGGCAACCUUUGACUUUGAUGACCUUGAAGCUGGAACUGGGGAUGAGUGCACAUGUCAGCUCAGUAAUCGCUGUUGA